Molecule: ribosomal RNA, 253 nt
Filed under: uncultured bacterium
Lineage: Bacteria
Description: partial 16S ribosomal RNA
Rfam family: Bacterial small subunit ribosomal RNA
Source: RNAcentral
UACGAAGGGGGCUAGCGUUGCUCGGAAUUACUGGGCGUAAAGGGCGCGUAGGCGGAUGACUAAGUUGGGGGUGAAAGCCCGGGGCUCAACCUCGGAACUGCCUUCAAUACUGGUCAUCUUGAGUACGGGAGAGGUGUGUGGAACUCCGAGUGUAGAGGUGAAAUUCGUAGAUAUUCGGAAGAACACCAGUGGCGAAGGCGACACACUGGCCCGUUACUGACGCUGAGGCGCGAAAGCGUGGGGAGCAAACAGG